This 107-nucleotide small nuclear RNA is filed under the name Octodon degus (degu). The record is from RNAcentral. Lineage: Eukaryota; Metazoa; Chordata; Mammalia; Rodentia; Octodontidae.
GUACUCGCUUCAGCAGCACAUAUACUAAAAUUGGAAUGAUACAGAGAAGAUUAGUGUGGCCCAUGCGCAAGGAUGACACGCAAAUUCGUGAAGCAUUUCAUAUUUUU